GCAGUGGUAGUUCAGUGGUAGAAUUCUUGCUUUCUACACCAGAGACCUGGGUUUGCCCCCGGCCAAAGCG
RNAcentral lists this transfer RNA (70 nucleotides) under Loxodonta africana (African savanna elephant). It matches the Rfam family "tRNA". Rfam says of the family: Transfer RNA (tRNA) molecules are approximately 80 nucleotides in length. Their secondary structure includes four short double-helical elements and three loops (D, anti-codon, and T loops). Lineage: Eukaryota; Metazoa; Chordata; Mammalia; Proboscidea; Elephantidae. The record is from Rfam by way of RNAcentral.